UACGUAGGGGGCUAGCGUUGUCCGGAAUCAUUGGGCGUAAAGAGCGCGUAGGCGGCUAGAUAAGUCCGGUGUGAAAGUCACAGGCUCAACCUGUGAAUGCCGCUGGAAACUGUCUGGCUAGAGUCCGGAAGGGGCGAGUGGAAUUCCUGGUGUAGCGGUGAAAUGCGCAGAUAUCAGGAGGAACACCAAUGGCGAAGGCAGCUCGCUGGGACGGUACUGACGCUGAGACGCGAAAGCGUGGGGAGCGAACAGG
Molecule: ribosomal RNA, 253 nt
Filed under: uncultured bacterium
Lineage: Bacteria
Description: partial 16S ribosomal RNA
Rfam family: Bacterial small subunit ribosomal RNA
Source: RNAcentral